Stegostoma tigrinum is the source of this 361-nucleotide long non-coding RNA. RefSeq lists it as uncharacterized. The record is from RefSeq and is a predicted model, not a curated record. Lineage: Eukaryota; Metazoa; Chordata; Chondrichthyes; Orectolobiformes; Stegostomatidae. The transcript has 3 exons.
GCCAGCGCGUGGAGAUCGGUGGAGCGGGCCUGCGCAAUCGCGGGCCGGACGGUUUGACGAUGACACAUUCAAUCAAAUGCUGCCUUGACAUUGGAAGCACACACGUUCACCACACCACUUGAGUAUCCUUGGCAGAACACACAAUGUGCAUCAGUGAGCAGACUAUUGCGAUUUUAUUCUGUAUGCAGGAACACAACAGGAAACACGGACAACAAAUGGCAAGUUCCAGAAAUCUUCUCGGCUGAUAUAUGCACUAAAUGGAAGUGACAGUUGGCAGCUGUGUCCUGAGGCAACUUAAGAGUUGAUAUGAUGUUCAAGAGAAACUCUAAUUGAACCUACCCUUGAAUAAACUUACCAAUCA